AAGGACCAAAUCAAAAGCAAAGUCAUGUUUGGAGGUAAUCCAAGUAAGUCAUCCUGGGAUACAUUAGGCAAAGAGAUAAAUCAUGUCCAAUACUUUCAAAAUAAAAGAUCGACUGAUCAAAUAUACAAAAAGUGAUCAUUUGUUAUAUACCAAUCCAUACUGGUAUGAUAAGAAGAUAGUCAAUCCAUACCAAGUAUAAUAUCAAAGUUCC
This 211-nucleotide long non-coding RNA is filed under the name Musa acuminata (dwarf banana). Its description in RNAcentral is "long non-coding RNA (MACU_LNC009219)". Lineage: Eukaryota; Viridiplantae; Streptophyta; Magnoliopsida; Zingiberales; Musaceae. The record is from RNAcentral.